This 84-nucleotide transfer RNA is filed under the name Pseudoxanthomonas dokdonensis. It matches the Rfam family "tRNA". From Rfam's summary of the family: Transfer RNA (tRNA) molecules are approximately 80 nucleotides in length. Their secondary structure includes four short double-helical elements and three loops (D, anti-codon, and T loops). Further hydrogen bonds mediate the characteristic L-shaped molecular structure. tRNAs have two regions of fundamental functional importance: the anti-codon, which is responsible for specific mRNA codon recognition, and the 3' end, to which the tRNAs corresponding amino acid is attached (by aminoacyl-tRNA synthetases). tRNAs cope with the degeneracy of the genetic code in two manners: having more than one tRNA (with a specific anti-codon) for a particular amino acid; and 'wobble' base-pairing, i.e. permitting non-standard base-pairing at the 3rd anti-codon position. Lineage: Bacteria; Pseudomonadati; Pseudomonadota; Gammaproteobacteria; Lysobacterales; Lysobacteraceae. The record is from Rfam by way of RNAcentral.
GCCCGGGUGGCGAAAUUGGUAGACGCAUCAGACUUAAAAUCUGCCGGCCGCAAGGCCGUACCGGUUCGAUUCCGGUCCCGGGCA